RNAcentral lists this long non-coding RNA (1537 nucleotides) under Mastacembelus armatus (zig-zag eel). Its description in RNAcentral is "lncRNA (ENSMAMG00000024839.1)". Lineage: Eukaryota; Metazoa; Chordata; Actinopteri; Synbranchiformes; Mastacembelidae. The record is from RNAcentral.
CAACACGCAGCCGCUGAGUUUCAGGUUACCUGGCCGUGCGCAGGUAACCUGUAACAGAGCCCCACCCCCCCACCACCCCCAACACUUUGUGUCACUUUCUUGCUGGUGCCCACACUGCCAAACGAGAGACACCUUAUCUUUUAUUGCGAGGGAUGCUUUAUUGUUUUUGUCACUGAUAGCUCUUCAACUUGAUGCCGUGGAAUAGCUCAUUAAUGGUGCGUAACGCGAGAAUUUAGAACCCCCGGCGAGGAACGGUGUAUCCAAGCAACCAGCCCCGCACAAAGUGGACAGACGUACAUUUACAGCCGUGAGAGGAGGAUUUUAAAGCACUUCACUGGAUUUCUUUUUUUUGAGAGAAGGGGGUUAUUUUCUUGCUUGGACAUAUAUAUAGGCUACUGCAUUUUUCUUCUGAAGUGAGGUUCACCACCUGUGGUUUGUCAGCAGGAAUGACUUCUUCCGUGGCUCUGAGAGAAUUCAGAACUGGCCCUUUGUAUUUCUUUGACCAGGUGCACUGAUGAUUCACUGCGCUAUGCGUAAUUUAAAGGAAACCGCAGGACAUUAACCAUUUAUCUCUCUCCAGCCAACAGGACGGAGCCAAAUCAAAGGGACAAGAAGCAACAUUUUGCUGUUUGCUAUGUCACAAGAAGAAACACAACCGGAAGACUCACUAAGUAAUCCAGAGAAUGAAGAAGAAGAAGGUAAAAGAGAUGAGCUCACUGACGGACUCUCUAAUGAAACAUGUGAGGAUAAUAAACCUGAUACAUCGUCCGCUCUCGGGGCCGCACUCAACAUAAAGGAACACGAUCCAACGGACGAGUACAAGCGAGCAGCCCCUCACUUACUAAAUGAACUGGCUGCGCUACUGUCCCAACACAGGUGGACUGAGAAGGGCUGUGUUCCUCACGGGAUUGUAAAUGUUCUGAACUAUUCCUGGCAGGAUCUGACAGCUGGAGCGGUUUGGAAAAGUCCAGACCAGACUGAAAACCAAGAAAAGUCCAAAGGCUCCUUGAGGUUGGACGAAACUAACCGGCCGGUGUCUGCCAGUGACAAGAAGGAAACGAGAAGGAGAAAUUCAUGUGUUGCUGGAAACGUGGGUCUCUCUGAGAGAAAACCACAAUCUAGCUCAAAUCCACGCGUGAAAAAACGCAAACAAAACCCCCCAAAAGCUCAUAACUCCAUAAUGACCAGUUUCUCCAUCUCAUCCAACAGCUGUAAUGAUCCAGGUUGGAUCAUCCAGACCCAGCCACCCUCCUACAAUGAGCCUCAGCAGAUCAAUUUGUGUCAGUGGGUGGUGAAGCGACUGCAGGUGGCAAGAACUCCUGAAAAACUGCAAGCAGCUGGACAGACCCAGAGCAAGACCCUCAUUCUCCGUCACUAUGGAGAUGCAAAGGCAAAACCGAAGGACAGGAGAGCACAGAGAAAGGCCAAUCCUACUACUUUAGUUAAUGGGAUUCCCCAGAUACCAGAAGUGAAGCAGCAGGAUCCAGCACAGCAGAAACUACACUACAGGAUCAACGAUGGCUCCUCAUUCAUAUAG